RNAcentral lists this ribosomal RNA (251 nucleotides) under uncultured prokaryote. Its description in RNAcentral is "partial 16S ribosomal RNA". It matches the Rfam family "Bacterial small subunit ribosomal RNA", at positions 525 to 775 of the family's 1533-position model. The record is from RNAcentral.
ACGUAGGGGGCGAGCGUUGUCCGGAAUUACUGGGCGUAAAGGGUGCGUAGGUGGCCUUUUAAGUUGGAUGUGAAAUACCCGGGCUUAACUUGGGGGGUGCAUCUAAUACUGGAGGGCUAGAGUGCAGGAGAGGAAAGCGGAAUUCCUAGUGUAGCGGUGAAAUGCGUAGAUAUUAGGAGGAACACCAGUGGCGAAGGCGGCUUUCUGGACUGUAACUGACACUGAGGCACGAAAGCGUGGGGAGCAAACAG